GUGUCAGCAGCCGCGGUAAGACGAACCUGACAAACGUUAUUCGGAAUUACUGGGCUUAAAGGGUGCGUAGGCGGCGCGACAAGUUGGGUGUGAAAUCCCUCGGCUCAACCGAGGAACUGCGCUCAAUACUGUCGUGCUCGAGGGAGACAGAGGUGAGCGGAACUUAGGGUGGAGCGGUGAAAUGCGUUGAUAUCCUAAGGAACACCGGUAGCGAAAGCGGCUCACUGGGUCUUUUCUGACGCUGAGGCACGAAAGCUAGGGUAGCGAACGGGAUUAGAUACCCCGGUAGUCCUAGCCUUAAACGAUGAGCACUUGAUUGGAGGGUCCUCCAUAGCCCUCCAGUCGUAGCGAAAGUGUUAAGUGCUCCGCCUGGGGAGUAUGGUCGCAAGGCUGAA
RNAcentral lists this ribosomal RNA (395 nucleotides) under uncultured bacterium. RNAcentral's name for it is "bacterial SSU rRNA". It matches the Rfam family "Bacterial small subunit ribosomal RNA", at positions 505 to 898 of the family's 1533-position model. The record is from RNAcentral.